This 382-nucleotide ribosomal RNA is filed under the name uncultured bacterium. Its description in RNAcentral is "bacterial SSU rRNA". It matches the Rfam family "Bacterial small subunit ribosomal RNA", at positions 30 to 416 of the family's 1533-position model. The record is from RNAcentral.
AUUGAACGCUGGCGGAAUGCUUUACACAUGCAAGUCGAACGGUAGAGGGGGCAACCCCUUGAGAGUGGCGAACGGGUGAGUAAUAUAUCGGAACGUGCCCAGUCGUGGGGAUAACGUAGCGAAAGUUACGCUAAUACCGCAUACGAUCUAAGGAUGAAAGCGGGGGAUCGCAAGACCUCGCGCGAUUGGAGCGGCCGAUAUCGGAUUAGGUAGUUGGUGAGGUAAAGGCUCACCAAGCCGACGAUCUGUAGCUGGUCUGAGAGGACGACCAGCCACACUGGGACUGAGACACGGCCCAGACUCCUACGGGAGGCAGCAGUGGGGGAAUUUUGGACAAUGGGCGCAAGCCUGAUCCAGCAAUGCCGCGUGCAGGAUGAAGGCC